RNAcentral lists this ribosomal RNA (253 nucleotides) under uncultured bacterium. RNAcentral describes it as "partial 16S ribosomal RNA". It matches the Rfam family "Bacterial small subunit ribosomal RNA", at positions 524 to 776 of the family's 1533-position model. The record is from RNAcentral.
UACGUAGGGUGCAAGCGUUAAUCGGAAUUACUGGGCGUAAAGCGUGCGCAGGCGGCCUUAAAAGUCAGAUGUGAAAUCCCCGAGCUCAACUUGGGAACUGCGUUUGAAACUCUAAGGCUAGAAUAUGUCAGAGGGGGGUAGAAUUCCACGUGUAGCAGUGAAAUGCGUAGAGAUGUGGAGGAAUACCAAUGGCGAAGGCAGCCCCCUGGGAUAAUAUUGACGCUCAUGCACGAAAGCGUGGGGAGCGAACAGG